AUUAAAGUAGUAAAGUGAUCCUCUUUUUAAAGAGAAAGUGAGUAAGUACGUUAGUAAUUCUUUUUUAGAAUUUCACCUCCUUUUCAUGAAGAAGUGAACUACAAUGUAUAAACCGGAACUAAACACCCUGUGCCUGCCUAGCCUGCCUAUAUCUAGGUUACUCUGCUGUCUUCCACUACCACCCAGAACUUGGAAAACUAAAAUUAACAAAACAACAGAACAGACAAAUCAGACAUGGCGGAGAGAGAAGAAAGACGAGGAGAAAAGAAAAAAAGAAAAGAAAAAAAAUCCGGAGAUUCUUGACAACAACCCAUUUGGUAGCUUAUAAAGUCUGUUCUCU
This is a long non-coding RNA of Eurytemora carolleeae, 340 nucleotides long. RefSeq lists it as uncharacterized. The record is from RefSeq and is a predicted model, not a curated record. NCBI's taxonomy places the organism in Eukaryota, Metazoa, Arthropoda, Copepoda, Calanoida, Temoridae. The transcript is spliced from 4 exons.